CCUACGGGGUGCUGCAGUGAGGAAUAUUGGUCAAUGGGCGUAAGCCUGAACCAGCCAAGUCGCGUGAGGGAUGAAGGUUCUAUGGAUCGUAAACCUCUUUUAUAAGGGAAUAAAGUGCGGGACGUGUCCCGUUUUGUAUGUACCUUAUGAAUAAGGAUCGGCUAACUCCGUGCCAGCAGCCGCGGUAAUACGGAGGAUCCGAGCGUUAUCCGGAUUUAUUGGGUUUAAAGGGUGCGUAGGCGGCCUUUUAAGUCAGCGGUGAAAGGCUGUGGCUCAACCAUAGAAUUGCCGUUGAAAAUGGCAGGCUUGAGUAUGUUUGAGGCAGGCGGAAUGCGUGGUGUAGCGGUGAAAUGCUUAGAUAUCACGCAGAACCCCGAUUGCGAAGGCAGCCUGCCAAGCCAUGACUGACGCUGAUGCACGAAAGCGUGGGGAUCAAACAGGAUUAGAUACCCGAGUAGUC
Molecule: ribosomal RNA, 460 nt
Filed under: uncultured bacterium
Lineage: Bacteria
Description: partial 16S ribosomal RNA
Rfam family: Bacterial small subunit ribosomal RNA
Source: RNAcentral